RNAcentral lists this ribosomal RNA (466 nucleotides) under Vreelandella stevensii. RNAcentral's name for it is "partial 16S ribosomal RNA". It matches the Rfam family "Bacterial small subunit ribosomal RNA", at positions 338 to 795 of the family's 1533-position model. Lineage: Bacteria; Pseudomonadati; Pseudomonadota; Gammaproteobacteria; Oceanospirillales; Halomonadaceae. The record is from RNAcentral.
CCUACGGGGGGCAGCAGUGGGGAAUAUUGGACAAUGGGGGCAACCCUGAUCCAGCCAUGCCGCGUGUGUGAAGAAGGCCCUCGGGUUGUAAAGCACUUUCAGUGAGGAAGAACGCCUGGUGGUUAAUACCCAUCAGGAAAGACAUCACUCACAGAAGAAGCACCGGCUAACUACCGUGCCAGCAGCCGCGGUAAUACGGAGGGUGCGAGCGUUAAUCGGAAUUACUGGGCGUAAAGCGCGCGUAGGUGGCUUGAUAAGCCGGUUGUGAAAGCCCCGGGCUCAACCUGGGAACGGCAUCCGGAACUGUCAAGCUAGAGUGCAGGAGAGGAAGGUAGAAUUCCCGGUGUAGCGGUGAAAUGCGUAGAGAUCGGGAGGAAUACCAGUGGCGAAGGCGGCCUUCUGGACUGACACUGACACUGAGGUGCGAAAGCGUGGGUAGCAAACAGGAUUAGAUACCCGGGUAGUC